Molecule: ribosomal RNA, 971 nt
Filed under: Arachnopeziza delicatula
Lineage: Eukaryota; Fungi; Ascomycota; Leotiomycetes; Helotiales; Arachnopezizaceae
Description: SSU rRNA
Rfam family: Bacterial small subunit ribosomal RNA (bases 288-971)
Source: RNAcentral
GGCUGAACCAGCAACUUAGAGGAAUGAAAGGUUAUUUAGUUAAUUAGUUACAUUGUUUGAAUAAAAUAAAUCUUUAUAGAUCUUUUUAUUCAGUUGCUUAAAACAAAAUUUUUUGUUUUAUUCAAAUAGACUUAAAGGUGAGAUCUUUAAGCUUUUUUUAUGCUACAAAUACUUUUAUAUAAGUAUUUGUAAUAUUUAUAAUAUUAUAUAAUAUUAUAAAUACUAAAAAAGCACCCUGGAUAGAAUAACAAUCUAAAAGGGGGAAACAUUUUUAACAGAAUGUUAUUAGUCUAUAUAUUAAUUGCUCAAUAAUAUGGGUAAACAGUGUAUCGUCAAUUUUAUUGAGUAAAAUUCUAGGUAGUGAUAAUAUGAUUAUGACAAAAAACUAUCUAUAAGUCUUGACCAAAAUACAUGCCAGCAGUCGCGGUAAGAUGUAAAAGACUAGUGUUAUUCAUCUUUAAUAGGUUUAAAGGGUACCUAGACGGUUUAUUUAGUCUUUAAUAGGAUACGAAUAAUCUAGAGUUAUAUGUAAGGAGGUGAGUAUUUAUGGAGUAGAGUUGAAAUUCGUUGAUACCAUAACGACUGGUAAAGGCGAAAGCAACCUUUUAUCUAAUAACUGACGUUGAGGAACGAAGGCUUGGGUAGCGAACAGGAUUAGAUACCCUAGUAGUCCUUGCAGAAAAUGAUGAAUGCCAUAGGUUAGAUAAUAAUUUAGUCUAUAAAUGAAAGUGUAAGCAUUUCACCUCAAGAGUAAUGCGGCAACGCAGGAACUGAAAUCAUUAGACCGUUUCUGAAACCAGUAGUGAAGUAUGUUAUUUAAUUCGUAAUUACGCGAAAAACCUUACCACAACUUGAAUAUUAUCAAAUAUGAUAUUACAAGUGUUGCAUGGCUGUCUGCAGUUAAUGUCGUGAGAUUUGGAUAGCUCCUUAAAUUAACGGAAACCCUUACUUUAGUUGAAAAUAACAAUAAA